This 676-nucleotide ribosomal RNA is filed under the name Salmonella enterica. Its description in RNAcentral is "partial 23S ribosomal RNA". It matches the Rfam family "Bacterial large subunit ribosomal RNA", at positions 1252 to 1911 of the family's 2925-position model. The record is from RNAcentral. Lineage: Bacteria; Pseudomonadati; Pseudomonadota; Gammaproteobacteria; Enterobacterales; Enterobacteriaceae.
GAAGGUGUGUCGUGAGGCAUGCUGGAGGUAUCAGAAGUGCGAAUGCUGACAUAAGUAACGAUAAAGCGGGUGAAAAGCCCGCUCGCCGGAAGACCAAGGGUUCCUGUCCAACGUUAAUCGGGGCAGGGUGAGUCGCCCCCUAAGGCGAGGCCGAAAGGCGUAGUCGAUGGGAAACGGGUUAAUAUUCCCGUACUUGGUGUUACUGCGAAGGGGGGACGGAGAAGGCUAUGUUGGCCGGGCGACGGUUGUCCCGGUUUAAGCGUGUAGGUGUGUGUUCCAGGUAAAUCCGGUUCACUUUAACACUGAGGCGUGACGACGAGGCACUACGGUGCUGAAGCAACAAAUGCCCUGCUUCCAGGAAAAGCCUCUAAGCAUCAGGUAACAUCAAAUCGUACCCCAAACCGACACAGGUGGUCAGGUAGAGAAUACCAAGGCGCUUGAGAGAACUCGGGUGAAGGAACUAGGCAAAAUGGUGCCGUAACUUCGGGAGAAGGCACGCUGACACGUAGGUGAAGUGAUUUACUCAUGGAGCUGAAGUCAGUCGAAGAUACCAGCUGGCUGCAACUGUUUAUUAAAAACACAGCACUGUGCAAACACGAAAGUGGACGUAUACGGUGUGACGCCUGCCCGGUGCCGGAAGGUUAAUUGAUGGGGUCAGCGCAAGCGAAGCUCCUGA